UGGCUCAGCAGUUAAGAGCGCUGGCUAGUCUUCCAGAGGUCCUGGGUUCAAUUCCCAG
This 58-nucleotide transfer RNA is filed under the name Mus musculus (house mouse). The record is from Rfam by way of RNAcentral. Lineage: Eukaryota; Metazoa; Chordata; Mammalia; Rodentia; Muridae. RNAcentral also lists the same sequence under 1 other name.